GUGAACGAGCGACGCCGCGUGCGGGAUGAAGGCCUUAGGGUUGUAAACUCCUGUCGAGGGGGAAGAAACGCCGCGAGGCGGUGACUGAACCCUGGAGGAAGCACGGGCUAAGUUCGUGCCAGCAGCCGCGGUAAGACGAACCGUGCGAACGUUAUUCGGAAUCACUGGGCUUAAAGCGCGUGUAGGCGGGAGGGCGCGUCCGACGCUGAAAUCCCCCGGCUCAACCGGGGAACGGGCGCGGAGACGACCCUCCUGGAGGGACGUAGGGGGACCUGGAACUUCCGGUGGAGCGGUGAAAUGCGUUGAGAUCGGAAGGAACGCCCGUGGCGAAAGCGAGGUCCUGGACGUUUGCUGACGCUGAGACGCGAAAGCCAGGGGAGCGAACGGGAUUAGAUACCCCGGUAGUCCUGGCCGUAAACGAU
RNAcentral lists this ribosomal RNA (422 nucleotides) under uncultured anaerobic ammonium-oxidizing bacterium. Its description in RNAcentral is "bacterial SSU rRNA". It matches the Rfam family "Bacterial small subunit ribosomal RNA", at positions 383 to 810 of the family's 1533-position model. The record is from RNAcentral.